This 532-nucleotide long non-coding RNA is filed under the name Parus major (Great Tit). Its description in RNAcentral is "lncRNA (ENSPMJG00000003009.1)". The record is from RNAcentral. Lineage: Eukaryota; Metazoa; Chordata; Aves; Passeriformes; Paridae.
ACCAAAGAACUCCUUUGGAAAUACAGAUGUCAUCUGCAUUACGGCCAUAAUUAAUUAACCAAUCAAUUAUCAUGAUGAAUGCUAUUUUAAUGAAUCAGUUGCAAAUCAUUUUUGGUUCUUAUGGUUUUCAUUCAGCACACAUUAAUCAUGGCAGGCUCUCUGGGUUGCAGAGGAAUGCAGGACGUGAAUCCAAGACCUCAGUACAUCUUUAACAGAGUUUCUGAAGGAUCUGGAAGAAAUUACAGGAGUGACAGUUGUGAGAGGGACGUACUCCAGAUUGGCGGGGCUGGUUUGUGCUUUGUUACCACAUUGCCUCCUCCUAGCAGAAUGGAUGUGCUGGUGGCAUUCCCGGAUUUCUCGAGCUCUCAUGCUAACUCUGAGUCAGCUUUGACCUGGCUGGGUGCCCACCUGCAUAAUUCCAGAUGUGACCAUGGAGAGUGCACAGGGCAAACAACCCUAGGGAAGAAGGUCUUGCUGGCUUGAUGUCUAAAAACAAAAUAAAAAUCAAGUAAAAUUCCUCGAGUCUAAGUCU